This 484-nucleotide ribosomal RNA is filed under the name uncultured bacterium. RNAcentral's name for it is "partial 16S ribosomal RNA". It matches the Rfam family "Bacterial small subunit ribosomal RNA", at positions 30 to 507 of the family's 1533-position model. The record is from RNAcentral.
AUUGAACGCUGGCGGCAGGCCUAACACAUACAAGUCGAGCGGAUGAAGGGAGCUUGCUCCUGGAUUCAGCGGCGGACGGGUGAGUAAUGCCUAGGAAUCUGCCUGGUAGUGGGGGAUAACGUCCGGAAACGGGCGCUAAUACCGCAUACGUCCUGAGGGAGAAAGUGGGGGAUCUUCGGACCUCACGCUAUCAGAUGAGCCUAGGUCGGAUUAGCUAGUUGGUGGGGUAAAGGCCUACCAAGGCGACGAUCCGUAACUGGUCUGAGAGGAUGAUCAGUCACACUGGAACUGAGACACGGUCCAGACUCCUACGGGAGGCAGCAGUGGGGAAUAUUGGACAAUGGGCGAAAGCCUGAUCCAGCCAUGCCGCGUGUGUGAAGAAGGUCUUCGGAUUGUAAAGCACUUUAAGUUGGGAGGAAGGGCAGUAAGUUAAUACCUUGCUGUUUUGACGUUACCAACGGAAUAAGCACCGGCUAACUUCGUG